GAUGAACGCUGGCGGCGUGCUUAACACAUGCAAGUCUAACGAUGAAGCCCAGCUUGCUUGGUGGUUUAGUUGCGAACGGGUGAGUAACACGUGAGUAACCUGCCCUUAACUCUGGGAUAAGCCUGGGAAACGGGGUCUAAUACCUGAUAGGAGCUCCUACCUCCUGGUGGGUGUUGGAAAGAUUUAUCGGUUUUGGAUGGACUCGCGGCCUAUCAGCUUUUUGGUGAAGUAAUGGUUCACCAAGGCUACGACGGGUAGCCGGCAUGAGAGCGUGACCACGCACAAUGCGACUGAGAGACGCAGCAGUGUCCAACGGGCGGCAGUGGUGGGAAAUAUUGCACAAUGAGCGAAAGUCUGUUGAGGAGACGCUGCGUGAGGGAUGACGUCUUUCGGGGUGAAAACAUCUUUAAGUAGAGAAGCAGCGAAAGUGACGGUACCUGAAGAAGAAGCACCGGCUAACUACGUG
Molecule: ribosomal RNA, 466 nt
Filed under: uncultured bacterium
Lineage: Bacteria
Description: partial 16S ribosomal RNA
Rfam family: Bacterial small subunit ribosomal RNA
Source: RNAcentral